AUUUACCAUGAUUCACCAUGUCUUGCCCUCACCCCUUCUCCUGUCCCCCCUCAAUGACAGCUACCUUCCUCUUGUAAUCCUCGGUCCUAUAAAAUAGUCCCUGUAUACUUGCCAUGUACACAAUUUGUGACUACUUUUGGCCCUUGAGAAUGUUGUAUUCCUAAGUAUGCCUUCAUUUUUGUGUCAACAAAAUAUGUACAUCCAAUUUGUUUUUGGGUUUUGUUCCCGACAAUAGUUACCUACUUUAAAACCUGGUUGAGCAUCAUAUGAAAGACAGUAUACAAAUAUUUGCAGUGCCAAAAUUGGGCAUGUUUUGUUAACUGCACUUUCCACAAUACCCAGCCAGCCUAGAGCCUUGUUGAGCAUCAUGGGUAAUACAUGAUAGUACAAUACAUUUAGCAAUGUAUAGGAAAAUUAUGAGUUAAUAAU
This is a non-coding RNA of Pelobates cultripes (western spadefoot toad), 429 nucleotides long. NCBI's taxonomy places the organism in Eukaryota, Metazoa, Chordata, Amphibia, Anura, Pelobatidae. The record is from the annotation of a GenBank genome assembly.